RNAcentral lists this ribosomal RNA (253 nucleotides) under uncultured bacterium. Its description in RNAcentral is "partial 16S ribosomal RNA". It matches the Rfam family "Bacterial small subunit ribosomal RNA", at positions 524 to 776 of the family's 1533-position model. The record is from RNAcentral.
UACGUAGGGUGCGAGCGUUGUCCGGAAUUAUUGGGCGUAAAGGGCUCGUAGGCGGUUUGUCGCGUCGGGAGUGAAAACACUGGGCUUAACCGAGUGCUUGCUUUCGAUACGGGCAGACUUGAGGCAUUGAGGGGAGAACGGAAUUCCUGGUGUAGCGGUGAAAUGCGCAGAUAUCAGGGGGAACACCGGUGGCGAAGGCGGUUCUCUGGCAAUGUUCUGACGCUGAGGAGCGAAAGUGUGGGGAGCGAACAGG